This 520-nucleotide ribosomal RNA is filed under the name uncultured bacterium. RNAcentral describes it as "bacterial SSU rRNA". It matches the Rfam family "Bacterial small subunit ribosomal RNA", at positions 120 to 674 of the family's 1533-position model. The record is from RNAcentral.
GGGAAUCUGCCCUUGGGUUCGGAAUAACAGUUAGAAAUGACUGCUAAUACCGGAUGAUGUCUUCGGACCAAAGAUUUAUCGCCCAGGGAUGAGCCCGCGUAGGAUUAGGUAGUUGGUGGGGUAAGAGCCUACCAAGCCGACGAUCCUUAGCUGGUCUGAGAGGAUGAUCAGCCACACUGGGACUGAGACACGGCCCAGACUCCUACGGGAGGCAGCAGUGGGGAAUAUUGGACAAUGGGCGAAAGCCUGAUCCAGCAAUGCCGCGUGAGUGAUGAAGGCCUUAGGGUUGUAAGGCUCUUUUACCCGGGAUGAUAAUGACAGUACCGGGAGAAUAAGCUCCGGCUAACUUCGUGCCAGCAGCCGCGGUAAUACGAGGGGAGCUAGCGUUAUUCGGAAUUACUGGGCGUAAAGCGCACGUAGGCGGCUUUGUAAGUAAGGGGUGAAAGCCCAGAGCUCAACUCUGGAAUAGCCUUUUAGACUGCAUCGCUUGAAUCCAGGAGAGGUGAGUGGAAUUCCGAGU